This 468-nucleotide ribosomal RNA is filed under the name uncultured bacterium. RNAcentral describes it as "partial 16S ribosomal RNA". It matches the Rfam family "Bacterial small subunit ribosomal RNA", at positions 28 to 507 of the family's 1533-position model. The record is from RNAcentral.
GACGAACGCUGGCGGCGUGCUUAACACAUGCAAGUCGAACGGAAAGGCCCUGCUUUUGUGGGGUGCUCGAGUGGCGAACGGGUGAGUAACACGUGAGUAACCUGCCCUUUACUUUGGGAUAACUUCAGGAAACUGGGGCUAAUACCGGAUAGGAGCUCCUGCUGCAUGGUGGGGGUUGGAAAGUUUCGGCGGUCGGGGAUGGACUCGCGGCUUAUCAGCUUGUUGGUGGGGUAGUGGCUUACCAAGGCUUUGACGGGUAGCCGGCCUGAGAGGGUGACCGGCCACAUUGGGACUGAGAUACGGCCCAGACUCCUACGGGAGGCAGCAGUGGGGAAUAUUGCACAAUGGGCGGAAGCCUGAUGCAGCAACGCCGCGUGCGGGAUGACGGCCUUCGGGUUGUAAACCGCUUUCGCCUGUGACGAAGCGUGAGUGACGGUAAUGGGUAAAGAAGCACCGGCUAACUACGUG